This 458-nucleotide ribosomal RNA is filed under the name uncultured bacterium. RNAcentral's name for it is "partial 16S ribosomal RNA". It matches the Rfam family "Bacterial small subunit ribosomal RNA", at positions 338 to 795 of the family's 1533-position model. The record is from RNAcentral.
CCUACGGGUGGCAGCAGUGAGGAAUAUUGGUCAAUGGUCGGGAGACUGAACCAGCCAAGCCGCGUGAGGGAUGAAGGUACAGAGUAUCGUAAACCUCUUUUGUCAGGGAACAAAGGCGGGGACGUUUCCCCGGAUGAGUGUACCUGAAGAAACAGCAUCGGCUAACUCCGUGCCAGCAGCCGCGGUAAUACGGAGGAUGCGAGCGUUCUCCGGAUUUAUUGGGUUUAAAGGGUGCGCAGGCGGUCUGUUAAGUCAGCGGUAAAAGCCCGGGGCUCAACACCGGCCCGCCGUUGAAACUGGCAGUCUCGAGUUGGAGAGAAGUAUGCGGAAUGCGCGGUGUAGCGGUGAAAUGCAUAGAUAUCGCGCAGAACUCCGAUUGCGAAGGCAGCAUGCCGGCUCCACACUGACGCUGAGGCACGAAAGCGUGGGUAUCGAACAGGAUUAGAUACCCUGUAGUC